This is a small nuclear RNA of Pogona vitticeps (central bearded dragon), 164 nucleotides long. Its record names the gene U1. It matches the Rfam family "U1 spliceosomal RNA". Rfam says of the family: U1 is a small nuclear RNA (snRNA) component of the spliceosome (involved in pre-mRNA splicing). Its 5' end forms complementary base pairs with the 5' splice junction, thus defining the 5' donor site of an intron. The record is from Ensembl. NCBI's taxonomy places the organism in Eukaryota, Metazoa, Chordata, Lepidosauria, Squamata, Agamidae.
AUACUUACCUGGCAGGGGAGAUACCAUGAUCAUGAAAGUGGUUUUCCCAGGGUGAGGCUCAUCCAUUGCACUUUGGGUGUGCUGAUCCCUGUGAUUUCCCCAAAUGUGAGAAAAUCAACUGCAUAAUUUGUAGUAGUGGGGGACUGUGUUUGUGCUUUCUCCUG